AUCGCUGUAUUAUCAAAGGAACUCGCAAAUUUAUUUUUUUUACACACCCACAUGGCCACACCACAUACAGAGUUGAUAAUAUUUAUUUGGAUGGUGAAGUGAUUCACCUUAUAUGUGGUUGUUUAUGGAACUGGUACUCCUUAGCUUAUUUGGUGCUAGUAUGUGUAUGUUUUUACUGUUACUGGUACCGUGUAUUAGGCGUGUUCGUGGUUUGUGUAACCAAAUUAUGGCAGUUUCUUUGAAACCAUUUCAAAAUGACUGGUUCAUAAAUUAGACAAACUGAAAUUGAAUUUGCAGAAUUGGUAAACCAGUUCUCCCAGCCUGGCUAGUUUUUGAGUUUUUUAUGUGCCUGUGUGUGUAUACAUACACGUAGUUCUAUUCAUGUACAUGUACUAUUUUCAAUUUUGUCCAAACGUAACAGAUUGCAGACAAACAUAUCAGUUGUGUACAACUGUGUCAUUUGAAUGAUAGUCAAUUCCAUGAACGCCCAUUUUCAGUUUUUGUGUCUUACACAAUUAUUAUAGGUUUGGGGUUGUCUGAGAGGUGGAAGCCACAUAUGAUGUAUCUGAAGAUACAUUACACGUAUAUUGGCAAGAAUGCUGCCAUAAAUUGACUUCGAGUUGGUUUUUGUUGUACUGGCAAGAAGGAGGCCAGUGGGCCCAUUUUGUGGAGUUUCUGAAUGGAUAAUUUUGUGGAAUUUUUUUGCCACUUUGGUGCUGUUUCCUUGAGUGUAUGCAGAUAUAAAUAGAAAUAUUCUGGCCUCUGUUUUUUGGAAUGAAAGAUAAAUGUGUGUUUGAUUUUGUCUUCCUUUGUUUUCUUCCUGCUACGUCUACAGCAGCAAUGAGAGAAUUCCAGAGGCACAAGGUAGAUAGAAACACCAAAUGAAGCAAAAAUAUAGAAUUAUAAGCAAUAAUAAAUCUUUGGAUUAGAGGGUGGAUUUGGUGUAACGGGAAAGUUACUCCAUUUGUAACUUGGAGGUCAUGGGUUUGAGCUGUGAAAACAGCCUCUCUACAAAGUAAGGGUAAGGCUGCAUGCAUCAUCCCUCCAUAGAGUUCAUAAGUGUGGGAUUUUUUGUGCACUAGGUCACCUUUUUUAAUAAAUCUUUAGAUUGAGUGUACUUUGGAAGCCUUUGUAUUUCAGCCAUCUAAAAUUUUCUUUGUUGUCUGAAUUAGAGCCCUCCUGAAGUUCAUGCGAAU
This 1196-nucleotide unclassified non-coding RNA is filed under the name Hevea brasiliensis (rubber tree). Lineage: Eukaryota; Viridiplantae; Streptophyta; Magnoliopsida; Malpighiales; Euphorbiaceae. The record is from RNAcentral.